This 301-nucleotide ribosomal RNA is filed under the name uncultured bacterium. RNAcentral describes it as "partial 16S ribosomal RNA". It matches the Rfam family "Bacterial small subunit ribosomal RNA", at positions 509 to 808 of the family's 1533-position model. The record is from RNAcentral.
CAGUAGCCACGGUAAUACGUAGGUCCCGAGCGUUGUCCGGAUUUAUUGGGCGUAAAGCGAGCGCAGGCGGUUAGAUAAGUCUGAAGUUAAAGGCUGUGGCUUAACCAUAGUACGCUUUGGAAACUGUUUAACUUGAGUGCAAGAGGGGAGAGUGAAAUUCCAUGUGUAGCGGUGAAAUGCGUAGAUAUAUGGAGGAACACCGGUGGCGAAAGCGGCUCUCUGGCUUGUAACUGACGCUGAGGCUCGAAAGCGUGGGGAGCAAACAGGAUUAGAUACCCCCGUAGUCCCUGUCUCUUAUACA